Long non-coding RNA from Vigna radiata var. radiata (mung bean), 384 nucleotides. RefSeq lists it as uncharacterized. NCBI's taxonomy places the organism in Eukaryota, Viridiplantae, Streptophyta, Magnoliopsida, Fabales, Fabaceae. The transcript has 3 exons. The record is from RefSeq and is a predicted model, not a curated record.
AAAAACUGCGUGCAAUCUGGAAUGUUGUUAAAAGUGCAGAGUUUUCAUGGUUCAUUGGUGAAUUUUGCAGUUUCCAGUCUUAGUUUCAGUCUCAAGGCCACUUCCUGGAACAAUUAGGUUCAUUGCUGGAAGGUAGGACGGAAUGGAGUAAACGUCGCCACUGUCCCCAAGGCUUCUAUAAUGCAUGAUUAUCCGGUAGGGGUGGAGGUGGAGGUGGAAGAAAGUAUGGAGGUGCGGCGGUGUAGGAGGAAGGAGUGGAGGGAAGAAGAUGAGGAUAAAUUUGUCCUUUCACUUUGCUUAUAGAGUGAUCUUGCAGAUUUGGUACAAAACAUUAAUAAGUUGGCAGAGUUGAUGGAUAAUAUUUGGUCUCGAGGAACAUUGAGG